This 5823-nucleotide long non-coding RNA is filed under the name Gallus gallus (chicken). Its description in RNAcentral is "lncRNA (ENSGALG00010019333.1)". Lineage: Eukaryota; Metazoa; Chordata; Aves; Galliformes; Phasianidae. The record is from RNAcentral.
CUGGAACCUUCCGGUGCGAUGCGGGGUAUCAAUGGAGGGGCGGGGAGCGGCGGUCCCGUGACGGAGGCUGGGGGCGGGGCCUCCUGUGUUCCGCUCCCCUUGGAGGUGAUACCCCGUGAGGGCAGCAGGGGGCGCUGCUAAUACAGCCUCGCCGGAGAAGCGCCGUGGGAGGCGCUGAAGUUCUCCAACCCGUCGCGAAGUAAUUCCGUUCCUUCGAUGGUGACCCCGGGGUCAGCGCCCGGCUCUGUCUUGCUCGCUCCCCCACAUAUUUCCCGGUCCCCCGAGAUUCGUGCCUCGGGGACUUCCUGCAUGCCGUUACCCCGGGGGGAAUUCUGCUUCCACGAAUGUGUCCAGCGCCUCUGAAAAUACUUCUUGUUUAUACGGCAUUUAUUUAUAGGGUUCCUGCAAAGGAGGAAUGGCUCCCUGGUGGCGUUCCCUCCCGCUCGGGCCACUACAUGAACACUGUUGGAGAUUCUGGGAAUUUAGAGAAGACGGAGUCAGACCCUCCGGAGAGGUUUACACUGAGAAGGAUGAGAGGCAACGGACAAUUUGGAAAAGGAAAAUUUGACUUUGAUACCAAGAAGGAAAGAUCACAAUGAGUGUGAUAAAAAAACUGAAACAGGUGCCCAGGGAGGCUGUGGGAUCCAUAUCCUUGGAGGUAUUCAAAACUAGCUGUACAAGGCCCUGAGCAACCUGUUGCUGGGCUCCAUUUGAGUAAAGGUCUGCAGCGGUCCCUUUCCAUCUGCACCAAUCUCUGACACUUUUAUGAAGCCCAUUAGCUUCAUAAGCCCAUUAGCAGGAAAAAAAAAAAGGGAAUCAUUUCCACACUUUUUUGAAAGAGCAGUAAUUCUCAUGCUCUUGGUGAAGAACCAAUGGAGCAAUAUGGCAUUUUAACAUGUUAGCUAAGGAGAAAGAAUCAUAAACUAUUUGCAUGAGCAUAAAGCAAAGGGGACAAAUCCUGCUGGUAGCUGAGCACACGUACUGACCUUCACAGGAAUUGAGCCUGCUCAUCAUUUUGCAAGUUCACAUGAUAAGAAAAGGAACCAGCGUGAGAUCCUUUUUAUGCAGAAUUACAGAGAAAAAUCCCUUUCAAGUUGAGUGAAUGUAAGCAUGGAUGCCUCUGCUUCCAAGCUCGGAGUACAGUGUGGUGAAGGCUGAUAAAGAUCUGUGAGAGGUUCUUCACCCCAUCCUUUUUUUUUUUUCCAAGCUAAAAACAGAAGGCACACCCGUAAAGGUGAUGUGGUGACGUGGUGGCUGCUCGCUGAAGGGAGGCCAAAAUUGCAACCAUUUGCCUUCCCUUUCCCCCUGGCCUCUGCAGCUCUGUAAGGCUUUCUGACUCCCAGCAACUUUCUCCGCAAAACCUGUUCUCUCAUCGAGUUAUCUCCUCUGCAGAGGAGAGACACAAAUACCAGCUUGUCUCUUUUCAAUCAAGGAACAUGCAGUGCCAGAGGAUGAAGCAUCGGAUUCUUUACUUUUGAUUGAGGCUAAUUAGUGUUUGCUCUAAAGAACAUUAGAAAAAAAUACUGAGUAUUCAGAUUGCUGGAACUCACAGCCAGAGCACGGCUGCCUGAAGCAAUGGGGCUGCCUGGUACAAGUCCAGAGGUUCUCACUGAGGGGUGAGGAGGGAAGCCCAAUGAAGGCAGCUGCUUCUAUUUGUUUUGCAGGCAGCUCUGCUAUUAGGAAUCUACAAAAAAAAUAAAGAAGUCAUAAUGAAUGGAUGCUGUGUUCUGCGCUUUAUCUGUCUGCACUUAACAAGCAUAAUCAAAGCAUCACUACUGGCACUGAGACGAGAGGUUCUAUUUCUCCAGCUGGUCAGGUUUCUCCAGGAAAACUCAGUUCUAGCCCAGCGUCUGACAUGCAACGUAGUGUUCUGUAGACAUCUUAUAGACAAAUCUGAGUGCAGGGCUCUGGGCCCAGUGCCUUCUCAAGCUCUGUGUCGUGCUUUAGCCUGGCAGGCAGCUCAGCACCACACCGCAGUUCACUCCCUCUCUGGGCAAAAGGAUGGGAGAAAGAACCAGGAAAAAAAAGAGAAAAGAAACUCAGGAGUUGAGAUAACAAUCAUUUAAUAAGAAAGAAAAGGGAAAAAACCCAACCAAAACCAAGUGAUGUACAGUGCCAUUGCUCACUGCCAGCCAACUGAUGCCCAGCCAGUCCCUGAGCAAUGCUAGCCACCCCCAAACAGCCAACUGUCUCAGUAUUGUUGCUGAAUGUGGUGCCAUAUGGUACAGGACAUCCCUUUGGACAGUCUGGAUCAGUUAUUCUGGUGCUGUUCCACUCCAGGUCCUCACUGGCUGAGCAACUCCUUGCCCAAGUCUUUGGUUCUGCGCAAACACUGCUCAGCAACAACUAAUCAUCACUGCACUAUCUUCAUUAUUCUCACAGUAAGUCCAAAACACAGCACUACACCAGCUACAGUGACGAAAAUUAACUAUCCCAGCUGAAGCCAAGACCCUCUCAGAUCUACAUUUAUGGCUGGUGAUCAGUUUUACACUUGACCAAGACAAGCUUUACAUUCCAAUUUAGUUCAGCUAUGGGGAAAUGUGCCUGCAAGUCCAGGCAAAAAGAUUCUGGCCUGGAUGUAACACUCCUCACAUAUUGCAAGAGAUUUCUUUUGUGGGACAAAGUGAAAUCUCAGUGCUUAAUGGUAAGGAUCGCAUGGAUCUGUGCUGAACAGAUGGAAGAGAUAUUGCAUAAAGCCUAGUUCAUGUGUUCUUUGAUUACUGCCUGUUAGCCUUUAUCUCAGACUCUUGGAAACACCAGCUUUCUAUCAAAAGGAAAUGUCACCACUUUAGCUAAUAGACUUUUUUUUCUUUCCCUCGCAAGAGACUCUAAUUGACUUUUUUUUCCAGUUGAAUACAGCUUUAAAAAUGAAUAUUUAAUGUCAGGCAUUAAAGUUCCUACAUUGGCUUGCAGAGGAAAUCUUGACUCACACAGAUGCUUGUCAAGAGGAAGAAAAGGGAGACCAUGCUUCCCUCCCCUCCAAGACACAGAAAAGGAUUUGUCUUGAUGCAGCUCUGCAGUAUAGGCAAUUUUAUGCCUGAAGAGGGAUUUUCCCCCCCAGCCCUUCCUACAAGGCUCUGAGCUAUGGGGCAGCUGCGUCCAGCAGCCAUUGCCUCCAACAGCCUCACACUUCAUUCAGAAAAGAGCUGAAGCUGGCAGGCUUGGGGCUUGCUCCUGUCCAGAAGUCAAGGAGAUGUGCCAAUUCCUGGCAAUUAAUAUUUUGUGCUUUUUCCCAGCUGAAUAAUUCCCCAGCUUUGCAGAUCAAGCAAGAGACAUACUCAAAUUGCUUUGCAGUACUAAAUUCUGGGAAGCAAAUGGAGGACUUGUAACAAAUCUGUUGAACAACUUGUUUAAUCUUGAGCGUCUGCUCAAGCCCCUUGACUGCAGGCUUAAAGUGAAAGCAUAUGCCUCGUGCAGUAGCAACUCAAACGUGAGCAGAAUCAGGGCCAUUUUGAGGCACUGAUCAUACUACGUUGCCAUCUAUAUCAGAGCUUCCUGCUGCUCCAUGGUAGCCUGAUAGCUGAUGUCAGACUUCCUCAAGAGAGUGUUAAUUUUAUGAAGUGCCGUGGAUAACAGGGCCCUUCCUGAAACCAGCAGGUCAGUCUGUACUGCAAAGUGUGGAGAUUUCCAUCUGCCUUGAGGAUGGUGAACAUCGCUUUUGUGCAGAGGAAUAGCUGACCCUUCCUGCUAAUGGGCUAAACCAUUUGCUGUCCGUGUAAAUCACGCAAGGAACACUUGAAUGUAGCUAAUUGCUAAAAAUACCCCAAGUUUCAGCAGUAGAAAAGCUGACAAUUCUUCCAAGUCAUGUUAAAAAUACUGCUUUAGUAUGGCUUCAGUGGGAGCUGCAUCCUGUGAGCGCUGCAAGCAGAAUGGGACUGCCAUCAUCCCUGGGUGGGAUUCCUCUACCAUGUGAUAUGUCCUGUGGGUGCCGCAGCACAGCAGGAGGGAAGCUACAAGCUCUGAAAAUGUGCCUGCAAUAACAAUCAAGCAUUCUGGGCCUGUAUUUCCCCCCCCCCCCCCCGACUCAUCACAGCUUUGCACUUUUUUCCCCCCAAGCUUACUUUAUCAGGUCAAACCUUCUUUGGAGUGCAAACCUGAAUAUCUGAAGCCACAGGAAUGACAGACUGAUGGCUGUUGGCACUGGCUGAUGAAGAACAAGUCACAAGUGCUGGAGAACUCCAGCCAGCAAUCCUUCUGGGCUGGGGACUCGAACGGUGAUGAAAAAUGACAGCAGUGUAUUGAUAUCUCCCAUUUCAUUAUGUGAGCUUGGUGAAUUUCGGUUAUAGCACCCACGUUUGGUUAUAAUGGGGAAGGCAGAUCUGAAUGUCUUUGUACACUAGAGGGUAGACUGAUAGAAGUUAUCCCUGGAGGUGUUCAAGGCCAGGUUGGAUGAGGUCCUGAGCAGCCUGAUCCAGUGCCUGGUUCAGUGGUUGGCAACCCUGUCCACAACAGGGCCUUGGAACUGGAUGAUCUUUGGACGUUCCUUCCAACCCCAGCCAUUCUAUGAUUCUACAGUAAGUUUCUAAACAGAUUUUCAGAUUUCUCUCCAUUCCUGAUCUAGAAGUAACAAGAUGACUACACUUUUUGGUAUAAGCAUUUGAAAUGUCAGGAGGAUGUGAUUAUCACCUAAUGUUAGGAGGAAGCUCCUGAGAACAGCUGGGAUCCGCUACUCUGGGUAGAGGAACUCGUGCAAAAGGUGUCAGUGCUGUGCCUUAAAAUCCAAACCCACAGUGCAUCUGUGCUUCAGUGUUGGGUCUUGCUCCUGAAGUUACUCUUAAACCAAACAUUACAUGUUAGCUUAGACGUGCUUUGAAUUUCUGUGCCUGUAAAGUACGCCUAGCUCACAGAAUAUUAAGGAAAGUGCAACUUGGACGGGACCACGGGUGGAAGAAAUCCAAGUGUGCCCACACAAGAUAUCCAGUGCACACAAGUGCUGACACAUUGGUAGCCCUAAAGGAGCAACAUCACAGUCAUUGUGUGAUGGCCAAACAGCCUUUUGCUAACCUACAGCUACAUCUCGACAUUUUGAUUCCUUUUUGUAUCAAAUACUAUCCAUCUGAAGAUUGGUUACCAUUGCAAUUCAACACAUCUAAUUAGAGAGUAAAGCUUAAGGGGGAAAAAAAAAAGAACAAACUUACAUUAACCACGAAAGAAAUUUCUCACUCAUCAUCCAGUGCAAGUGCUGAGCACCCUGUUGUACUGCGGGACAAAAAAUAAACCUGAAGAGAUGCUGCCUCAUAGGUAAAGACCAGAUCCAAAGUUCUGUAAAGGAGGGAGGGAAGGAGAAAGGCUGCUGUCUGUGAACCUAACAGAAGAAAUAAACCAGACUCACUAAAGCACAUGCUGGACAUGAUGAUGUGACAUACUUGCUGCAUAGUCACACAGUGGAAUUGUGUGCCAGAGGUUUGGAGGAGAGGAUGAGCUCAGGAUGCGGUGGCUGUGGGCAGUUGGCACACAGCUGUUCCUGCUGCCCUCUGGGGCCUGCUGGGAGGAACAUGAGCAGUGCAUGCCUUGCAUGUGCAAAUGGGAGUAAGAAUAGCUCUAUCACAGCAGGGAGUGCUGCUGGAGAGGAAUUUCUGCUUAAAAGCAGGCUAAAUUCAUAGAGACCUGGUGUUUCUGACAGUGAUGGGCUAACCUCAAUAGAACAGGUGAAUAAUACACACGCGUCAGAGCAAGAAACCCUAACAAUUCAGGAAGGGAGUUAGAAAACUAAGUGGUGAGCUUGUCGAGCAGCUGCCAAAGAGACUAAUGACUGGCUGGAUACUGGGAAAAAAUUCUUCUCAGAAAGAGUGGUCAUACAUCAGCACGGGCUGCCCAGAGAGG